CCUACGGGAGGCAGCAGUGGGGAAUAUUGCACAAUGGGCGAAAGCCUGAUGCAGCAAUGCCGCGUGUGUGAAGAAGGCCUGCGGGUUGUAAAGCACUUUUAUUAGGAAAGAAAAACCCGGGGUUAAUACCCCCGGGCCUUGACGGUACCUAAUGAAUAAGCACCGGCUAACUCAGUGCCAGCAGCCGCGGUAAUACUGAGGGUGCAAGCGUUAAUCGGAAUUACUGGGCGUAAAGCGAGUGUAGGCGGCUGCGUAAGUCGGAUGUGAAAGCCCCGGGCUUAACCUGGGAAUUGCAUUCGAUACUGCGUGGCUAGAGUUUGGUAGAGGUAAGUGGAAUUCCGGGUGUAGCGGUGAAAUGCGUAGAUAUCCGGAGGAACAUCAGUGGCGAAGGCGGCUUACUGGACCAAAACUGACGCUGAGGCUCGAAAGCGUGGGGAGCAAACAGGAUUAGAUACCCUGGUAGUCCACGCCGUAAACGAUGAGUGCUAGGCGUCGCGGGUAUUGACCCCUGCGGUGCCGUAGUUAACGCGUUAAGCACUCCGCCUGGGGAGUACGGCCGCAAGGUUAAAACUCAAAGGAAUUGACGGA
Molecule: ribosomal RNA, 588 nt
Filed under: uncultured bacterium
Lineage: Bacteria
Description: bacterial SSU rRNA
Rfam family: Bacterial small subunit ribosomal RNA
Source: RNAcentral